AACGAACGCUGGCGGCAUGCCUAACACAUGCAAGUCGAACGAGACCUUCGGGUCUAGUGGCGCACGGGUGCGUAACGCGUGGGAACCUGCCCUUAGGUUCGGAAUAACUCCCCGAAAGGGGUGCUAAUACCGGAUAAUGUCUUCGGACCAAAGAUUUAUCGCCUUUGGAGGGGCCGGCGUUGGAUUAGCUAGUUGGUAGGGUAAACGCCUACCAAGGCGACGAUCCAUAGCUGGUCUGAGAGGAUGAUCAGCCACACUGGUACUGAGACACGGCCCAGACUCCUACGGGAGGCAGCAGUGGGGAAUAUUGGAAAGUGGGCGAAAGCCUGAUCCAGCAAUGACGCGUGAGUGAUGAAGGCCUUAGGGUUGUAAAGCUCUUUUACCCGGGAUGAUAAUGACAGUACCGGGAGAAUAAGCUCCGGCUAACUCCGUG
Molecule: ribosomal RNA, 433 nt
Filed under: uncultured bacterium
Lineage: Bacteria
Description: partial 16S ribosomal RNA
Rfam family: Bacterial small subunit ribosomal RNA
Source: RNAcentral